RNAcentral lists this transfer RNA (59 nucleotides) under Eurythenes magellanicus. RNAcentral's name for it is "tRNA-His". Lineage: Eukaryota; Metazoa; Arthropoda; Malacostraca; Amphipoda; Lysianassidae. The record is from RNAcentral.
GCUCUAAUAGUUUAAAAAAAUAUUACGUUGUGGUUGUAAAGUUGCGGUUGCUUAGGGCA